RNAcentral lists this ribosomal RNA (465 nucleotides) under Pediococcus acidilactici. RNAcentral's name for it is "bacterial SSU rRNA". It matches the Rfam family "Bacterial small subunit ribosomal RNA", at positions 46 to 474 of the family's 1533-position model. Lineage: Bacteria; Bacillati; Bacillota; Bacilli; Lactobacillales; Lactobacillaceae. The record is from RNAcentral.
UCCUAAUACAUGCAAGUCGAACGAACUUCCGUUAAUUGAUUAUGACGUGCUUGCACUGAAUGAGAUUUUAACACGAAGUGAGUGGCGGACGGGUGAGUAACACGUGGGUAACCUGCCCAGAAGCAGGGGAUAACACCUGGAAACAGAUGCUAAUACCGUAUAACAGAGAAAACCGCCUGGUUUUCUUUUAAAAGAUGGCUCUGCUAUCACUUCUGGAUGGACCCGCGGCGCAUUAGCUGGUUGGUGAGGUAACGGCUCACCAAGGCGAUGAUGCGUAGCCGACCUGAGAGGGUAAUCGGCCACAUUGGGACUGAGACACGGCCCAGACUCCUACGGGAGGCAGCAGUAGGGAAUCUUCCACAAUGGACGCAAGUCUGAUGGAGCAACGCCGCGUGAGUGAAGAAGGGUUUCGGCUCGUAAAGCUCUGUUGUUAAAGAAGAACGUGGGUGAGAGUAACUGUUCACC